CAGAGGAUCCUCAUCGUUUACUGUGAAAAAAUUAGAGUGUUCAAAGCAGGCUUACGCCUUGAAUAUAUUAGCAUGGAAUAAUAAGAUAGGACCUGGGUACUAUUUUGUUGGUUUGCGCACCGAGGUAAUGAUUAAUAGGGACAGUUGGGGGUAUUCGUAUUCCAUUGUCAGAGGUGAAAUUCUUGGAUUUUUGGAAGACGAACUACUGCGAAAGCAUUUACCAAGGAUGUUUUCAUUAAUCAAGAACGAAAGUUAGGGGAUCGAAGACGAUCAGAUACCGUCGUAGUCUUAACUAUAAACUAUGCCGACCAGGGAUUUGAGAACGUUACUUUUUUGGAUGACUUCUUCAGCACCUUGUGAGAAAUCAUAAGUGUUUAGGUUCAGGGGGGAGUACGGUCGCAAGUCUGAAACUUAAAGGAAUUGACGGAGGGGCACCACCAGGAGUGGAGCCUGCG
Molecule: ribosomal RNA, 455 nt
Filed under: Euplotes focardii
Lineage: Eukaryota; Ciliophora; Spirotrichea; Euplotida; Euplotidae
Description: partial Eukaryotic small subunit ribosomal RNA
Rfam family: Eukaryotic small subunit ribosomal RNA
Source: RNAcentral